GCGCCCGUAGCUCAGCUGGAUAGAGUACCUGACUACGAAUCAGGUGGUCGGAGGUUCGAAUCCUCCCGGGCGUGCCA
RNAcentral lists this transfer RNA (77 nucleotides) under Billgrantia gudaonensis. RNAcentral describes it as "Halomonas gudaonensis tRNA_Arg_ACG". It matches the Rfam family "tRNA". From Rfam's summary of the family: Transfer RNA (tRNA) molecules are approximately 80 nucleotides in length. Their secondary structure includes four short double-helical elements and three loops (D, anti-codon, and T loops). Lineage: Bacteria; Pseudomonadati; Pseudomonadota; Gammaproteobacteria; Oceanospirillales; Halomonadaceae. The record is from RNAcentral. RNAcentral also lists the same sequence under 4 other names.